This 395-nucleotide ribosomal RNA is filed under the name uncultured bacterium. RNAcentral's name for it is "bacterial SSU rRNA". It matches the Rfam family "Bacterial small subunit ribosomal RNA", at positions 28 to 430 of the family's 1533-position model. The record is from RNAcentral.
GACAAACGCUGGCGGCGUACCUAAGACAUGCAAGUCGAACGGGCACUCCGUCUUCGGAUGGAGUCGCGAGUGGCGAACGGGUGAGUAACACGUAGGAACCUGUCGCACAGUGGGGGAUAACGGCGGGAAACCGGCGCUAAUACCGCAUGUGGUCACCUUUCGGGGUGAAGAAAGGCGCAAGUCGCUGUGUGAGGGGCCUGCGGCCGAUUAGCUGGUUGGUGGGGUAACGGCCUACCAAGGCUGCGAUCGGUAGCUGGUCUGAGAGGAUGGUCAGCCACACUGGGACUGAGACACGGCCCAGACUCCUACGGGAGGCAGCAGUUAGGAAAUUUUCCCAAUGGGGCAACCCUGAGGGAGUAACGCCGCGUGGAGGAUGACGGCCUUCGGUUGUUAAC